This is a long non-coding RNA of Anas platyrhynchos (mallard), 1856 nucleotides long. RefSeq lists it as uncharacterized. Lineage: Eukaryota; Metazoa; Chordata; Aves; Anseriformes; Anatidae. The record is from RefSeq and is a predicted model, not a curated record.
GAUGAGGAUUUCUUCAUUUUGAGAAGUUGAGGGUUUAAACAGGCUCUGUUCUACCCUUAAAAUAUUAUUAUUAUAUUAUACUAAUAUAUUUCUUUUUUUGUUUGUUUGUUUUUAGUGAUUAGAAUUCUCUGCUUUUUCCUUCUCUUUUAUAUCCUAAAGCCUAGUGAGAGCAUGCAUAGGUAAGGGUGUAUAUAUAUUUACCUGGAAGACCUGAUACUCCUGAAGGAUUUGAUGUUUGCUGGAAGUUUCUUCUUUUCCCCUUGAGGAUUAUGAUAUGAAGACCUGUUACCAAAAUCUUAAACUUCACCAGCCGUGUUGUUCACGCCAUUGCAGAUGAAGCUCUCCCGCUGACCUGUGGGCGUUCUGUAUGAGCAAGAGGUUCAGGGCUCUGCCCUGGGCUGCUCUGUGUUUGGUGAAUUGGAGAAAAGUCAGGCAUAUAUCUGCUUGUUCUUGAAGUUGCAUUUAAUGAAUCAAUCUCUGAAGCAAAGGGGGGAAUGGAUAGAAAUAACAAACCAUUAAUUUAUGCUUUCGCAUUAUUAGAUAAGACUUUAAUUUGUGUCAAAAAAUAGUGCACUACUGUACCAGAGUGCCAGUACCAGUCUGUCAAGCUGCUUUUUUCAUCACUUGUACUCAUAAUGAAGUGGCUCUUCAGCUCUCAAAGGUUUAGCACUGCUAAUCCCAAACACCAGAUUGUCCUGUGCAGAAUUACUUCAUUGUUGUAAUAAUAUAUUUUUAAGACAAGACUGAAAUUCAUGGAGAAAUGAGCUAGCUUGUCUGUUAGGGAUGGCCUAAAUGUUUACUUCAUGCUUACUUUUGAAAGCAAAAGCAUCCCAUGUGCAAAAUCUGUCCCAAAUCUAUGACAAUGUAGGGGAGGUGUCCCACACAGUGGUUAUCAAUCCUUGCUGAAAGUUAGGAUGCUGCAGUAUCAUCGGUGGAAUCCCUCAAUAUUUAGCAAUCAUAUUAAAUAUACCCUGUAAAUUAUUUCUCAGCCUUCAUGUCUCCCAUUUGGAUGGGACAGCCUUGGACCUGAGCUACAGAAAUGAGCUAUAUCUGAAGGAAGAAUUAGGAAUCUCCAAAUAGAAGACAGAGAUAGGUGUGAAUUUGCUGAAUUCCCCAGUCAGCUGAGCAGGAAAGUGAAUGGAUCAGGGCUCACUGAGGAUGAGGGAAACUGGCUGUAGAAGAGGGAGAAGAUACAAUUCAGAGAGAAGGUGGGCUGCAGGAACAGAAACCUGGCUGCCCAUCUAUCUUCAGCUUUUGUCACGUGCAAAAUAACAAGUAAGUACUUUAUAAAUGUCAGGCACUAAUUGUAAGGGACUGCUGUGUGCCCCUUUAAAAACAAAACAUACAUCUAGGGAACAAAGAAGGUUGUAGCUCUGUGAAAAGUGUGCUUACAUCAACAUGCAAUUAUGUCAAUGUAAGGACACCAGCCCUGUUUUUUUGUGAGCCCCACUGGCACAUGUUGCAGGCAAAGGCUUUCCAGCCAGAGGCCAAUGGGAGAAAAUCUGCUGCUGCCUGAACCAGCUCUGGGAUUUGUGAGUGUGCACGCCUAGAGAGCAGCUCUCCCAUGAACUGCCCCCGUGCAGAGCCCAAAUGCUCUGCGUGGGCUGGGAGGCAGCACGUUAUGCUAUGCAAACCCUCGGCAUGAUCUGGCUGCAGGUGGUAAAAUGUGACACUGCACCACAAAGAAAAUUAAGUGCUGGCUACUUCUUUCUCUUCUUAUGGUCAGUGCAUGUACUUCCCUCACUUCCACAUACAGUUUCUUAUAUAACUGCAUUCUUAAAGGAAGCAGAAAUAAUUGAGUAAGCUUUAGGAAAGAAAAAAAGUUGAAGGUUCUUUUUCUGUUACAGAAAAAGUUA